GCGGGCGUAGCUCAGUGGUAGAGCGCCACCUUGCCAAGGUGGAUGUCGAGGGUUCGAACCCCUUCGCCCGCUCCA
Molecule: transfer RNA, 75 nt
Filed under: Planctomycetota bacterium
Lineage: Bacteria; Pseudomonadati; Planctomycetota
Description: tRNA-Gly
Rfam family: tRNA
About the family: Transfer RNA (tRNA) molecules are approximately 80 nucleotides in length. Their secondary structure includes four short double-helical elements and three loops (D, anti-codon, and T loops).
Source: RNAcentral